CUAAUUUAGUAAGUGCCCGUACCGAUAACCGACACAGGUAGGCGAGGAGAGAAUCCUAAGAUGAGCGAGAGAACUCUUGUUAAGGAACUCGGCAAAAUGACCCCGUAACUUCGGGAGAAGGGGUGCUUGUGAAAGCAAGCCGCAGUGAAUAGGCCCAGGCGACUGUUUAUCAAAAACACAGGUCUCUGCUAAACCGCAAGGUGAUGUAUAGGGGCUGACGCCUGCCCGGUGCUGGAAGGUUAAGAGGAGAGGUUAGCGCAAGCGAAGCUUUGAAUUGAAGCCCCAGUAAACGGCGGCCGUAACGAUAACGGUCCUAAGGUAGCGAAAUUCCUUGUCGGGUAAGUUCCGACCCGCACGAAAGGCGUAACGAUCUGGGCGCUGUCUCAACAAGAGACUCGGUGAAAUCAUAGUACCUGUGAAGAUGCAGGUUACCCGCGACAGGACGGAAAGACCCCGUGGAGCUUUACUGUAGCUUGAUAUUGAGCACUGGUGACACAUGUACAGGAUAGGUAGGAGACGAAGAAGCCAGGACGCCAGUCUUGGUGGAGUCGCUGUUGGGAUACUACCCUUGUGUUACUGGGGUUCUAACCCGUGGCCAUGAUCUGGUCAGGGAACAGUGUCAGGUGGGCAGUUUGACUGGGGCGGUCGCCUCCCAAAGAGUAACGGAGGCGCCCAAAGGUUCCCUCAGAAUGGUUGGAAAUCAUUCGAAGAGUGUAAAGGCAGAAGGGAGCUUGACUGCGAGACCUACAAGUCGAGCAGGGACGAAAGUCGGGCUUAGUGAUCCGGCGGUACCGAAUGGAAGGGCCGUCGUUCAACGGAUAAAAGCUACCCCGGGGAUAACAGGCUGAUCUCCCCCAAGAGUUCACAUCGACGGGGAGGUUUGGCACCUCGAUGUCGGCUCAUCGCAUCCUGGGGCUGUAGUCGGUCCCAAGGGUUGGGCUGUUCGCCCAUUAAAGCGGUACGCGAGCUGGGUUCAGAACGUCGUGAGACAGUUCGGUCCCUAUCCGUCGUGGGCGUAGGAAAUUUGAGAGGAGCUGUCCUUAGUACGAGAGGACCGGGAUGGACACACCGCUGGUGUACCAGUUGUUCUGCCAGGAGCAUAGCUGGGUAGCUACGUGUGGACGGGAUAAACGCUGAAAGCAUCUAAGCGUGAAGCCCCCCUCAAGAUGAGAUUUCCCAUUCGAAAGAAGUAAGAUCCCUUGAAGACGACAAGGUAGAUAGGUCAGAAGUGGAAGUGUGGUGACACAUGGAGCGGACUGAUACUAAUCGAUCGAGGACUUAACC
This 1284-nucleotide ribosomal RNA is filed under the name metagenome. Its description in RNAcentral is "bacterial LSU rRNA". It matches the Rfam family "Bacterial large subunit ribosomal RNA", at positions 1626 to 2925 of the family's 2925-position model. The record is from RNAcentral.